CUAAGUGAAAUUAGAUAUAAAAGAGAAAUGAAUUGAAUUUACUGGACAACAUUCUUCAGAUCUGCCGGGACAUAUUUUCAUUUUCUGUGAGUACUGGAAUGGAUUGGGACAAGUAAGCAUCUCAACAUCUUUUGUGAAAAGGGAGAAUGUGGAUGUCACUGGCUUUCACUUCACGUUUUAGGUCAGCGCUGCUUUUGGGGUGAAAGAAGACCAUCAGUAAACCUCAGCCUUGCCGCCAGGACUCCCCCGUCUUCUGCCGGAGUCCGCCGGUCCGCAGCCUGCGGCAGGGAGGCCCGGGCACCCGCAGGUGGCGCCCCACGUCCGUGUUUGCGCCCUCAGCCGCGCUCCAGGCGCAGCUGGGAAACCCAGAGCGUCUCCCCGGGUCGUUUGAGCGAGCGCGGACACUGCAGUUUAAUAAAUAAGCGCGAGCGCCAGCCGCUCCACCAGUCCGAGGUCCAGAGGAGCAGACACACAGACCCGGGCCGGAGGCCCCUCUUCCAGCCCUGCGGGAACCGGACAGUUCCCCAACUGGGGACUCUGGAAACACAGAUCCUAAAUCAUCAAAUUCUCAAGCUUUUUUUUCCUCUCUUCGUCCCAGCCAUCGCAGUCUUCUUCCUCUUUUUUUUUUUUUUUUAACUUAUUGUUUUUUUCGCCCCUUUCAUUAUGAAAGUGGUCACGCCAUUCAAUAUUAAGACUUGGAGGGAAUUGGGGAAAGAAAAGAAAGAAUCUAAAAGAAGAGAAGCGACCGGUGCUUUUAAGGGCGCCUAAUUUUCAAAAGAGACGUCUGGGAGUAUUUUGCUCUGGGCGUUUGGCAGAGCAACUUCGCGGACAGCGGAGCUCGCCGAGCAUGGAUGUUCCAGGUUCACGGGCGCCUUUCUUCUGAGAACGACCCUGGCCUUGAACGUCAGAGCGGGGGACGAAGGCCCGCGGAGGCUGCUGCGGGCCCCGCGCGUUCCUUCGCGCCCUUGCGCGCCGCUCGCGCCCCCGCCGGCCUCCACCCCCACGCGCCGCCUCCCACCAGCCCCGAUGCAGACGCCCGGCCGGGGGCCACUCGGGCUGCGGCUGAUGAUGCCCGGGCGCCGGGGGGCGCUGCGCGAGCCGGGCGACUGCGGAUCCUGCCUGGGGGUGGCGCUGGCCCUGCUGUUGCUGCUACUGCCCGCCUGCUGCCCCGUGCGGGCGCAGAACGACACGGAGCCCAUCGUGCUGGAGGGCAAGUGCCUGGUGGUGUGCGACUCCAGCCCGUCGGCGGACGGCGCCGUCACCUCCUCCCUAGGCAUCUCCGUGCGCUCCGGCAGCGCCAAGGUGGCCUUCUCCGCCACGCGGAGCACCAACCACGAGCCGUCCGAGAUGAGCAACCGCACCAUGACCAUCUAUUUCGACCAGGUAUUAGUAAAUAUUGGCAACCACUUUGAUCUUGCUUCCAGUAUAUUUGUAGCACCAAGAAAAGGGAUUUAUAGCUUCAGCUUCCACGUGGUCAAAGUGUAUAACAGACAAACCAUCCAGGUCAGUUUAAUGCAGAAUGGCUACCCAGUGAUCUCGGCCUUUGCAGGAGACCAGGAUGUCACCAGAGAAGCUGCUAGCAAUGGUGUGUUGCUGCUCAUGGAAAGGGAAGACAAAGUGCAUCUCAAAC
Pongo pygmaeus (Bornean orangutan) is the source of this 1630-nucleotide RNA transcript. It is a transcript of the gene named cerebellin 2 precursor, with no coding region annotated. Lineage: Eukaryota; Metazoa; Chordata; Mammalia; Primates; Hominidae. The record is from RefSeq and is a predicted model, not a curated record. The transcript is spliced from 7 exons.